RNAcentral lists this ribosomal RNA (229 nucleotides) under uncultured bacterium. RNAcentral describes it as "partial 16S ribosomal RNA". It matches the Rfam family "Bacterial small subunit ribosomal RNA", at positions 568 to 796 of the family's 1533-position model. The record is from RNAcentral.
CGCGUAGGCGGCCUCUUAAGUCAGAUGUGAAAGCCCGGGGCUUAACCUCGGAAGUGCAUUUGAAACUAAGGGACUUGAGUAUGGGAGAGGGAAGUGGAAUUCCUGGUGUAGCGGUGAAAUGCGUAGAUAUCAGGAGGAACACCGGUGGCGAAGGCGACUUCCUGGACCAAUACUGACGCUGAGGCGCGAAGGCGUGGGGAGCAAACAGGAUUAGAUACCCUGGUAGUCC